RNAcentral lists this long non-coding RNA (513 nucleotides) under Brassica napus (rape). RNAcentral's name for it is "long non-coding RNA (BNAP_LNC015347)". Lineage: Eukaryota; Viridiplantae; Streptophyta; Magnoliopsida; Brassicales; Brassicaceae. The record is from RNAcentral.
GGGAGUUUAGUUAGAAUCUAAACCGAACCAGAUAUUGAUUAUUUUCUUCCAAUAACAAGAUUAGAGAUGUAUGUUAUCUAAAAUGAGCCCCAUGUUAUCUAUUCUAUUAAAAUAUAGUCUAUUUUUAUCGAUUGUUUUUUGGACAAUAAAAAUACUAUAACAGUCCACUUAAAAUAGAUACUACUAAUCAUUACUAUACAAUGUUUUUAAUCUAACCAAUAAUUAAGAGUCCUAAUUACAUUAAUGUGUGAUUUACAAAAAAAUACAACUAUCAUUAACUCUUCGAAUUAAUCAUCUUUUAAAAAUAUUUUGGUCAAAGAAAAUUUAGCCAAAUUUAUAUGGCAUAUCAAUUAUACUAUACUUAGAGCAUCUCCAACUUCACUCUAUUUUCCACUCUAUAAUAGAGUAAAACAUGAGUAAGUUAUUUUUUUUGUUCAUCACUCUGUUUUCUACUCUAAAAUAGAGUACCAUUGGAGUAUAACUCAACUCCAUUAUAGAAUUACUCUAUUUUAG